Non-coding RNA from Paramuricea clavata, 694 nucleotides. The record is from the annotation of a GenBank genome assembly. NCBI's taxonomy places the organism in Eukaryota, Metazoa, Cnidaria, Anthozoa, Malacalcyonacea, Plexauridae.
GGAUGCUCAGAAUGCAGGAAAUAGCAUUUCACGGUUUCAAAUUUCAAAAAUUUUCUUGGGAUUAUCCCUCCGAAUAAGUAAUGAUAAAUUACAGUUAAUAUUCUUUUUUACUUUUUGUGCAUUUUUCCAUCUGUUAUUUCAAAUACAACUAUAGUUAGCAUAAAUUUUAGAGCAAAUUUGGAUGCUCAGAAUGCAGGAAAUGGCAUUUCCGUGGUUCAAAUUUCAAAAAUUUUCUGGGGGAGUACACCCCCACACACCUGACCAUUGCUAUCCUCCUCUAAUAAGUAAUGAUAAAUGAUGGUUAUUUUUUUUUACUUUUUGUGUGUUUCUUCCUUUAUUUAUUUCAAAUACAAGUAUAGUUAGGAUAAAUUUUGGAGCAAAUUUGGAUGCUCAGAAUGCAGGAAAUGACAUUUCCGGGAGUCAAAUUUCAAAAAUUUUCUGGGGGAGUACACCCCCAGACCCCCCAUUCAUGCAUGCUAUAUUUGCCACACACGUGGCUUUUAGCCAUUGCUAUCCCCCUCUAAUAUAUUAUCUCACAGAAAGGUCCCUUUUCAAAAAAUGCCCCCCCAUGGGAAAAUCCUUAAAAAAGGCCCUGAGGUAAGGUUGACGCAUGCGCAGACGUUUUUUCGCGGUGUUCAUGCAGGUACCAGCUGGUUGCAUAUUUAUACAGUAUGGUUAAUUCUAUCAGCAACUU